This 23-nucleotide non-coding RNA is filed under the name Rattus norvegicus (Norway rat). Lineage: Eukaryota; Metazoa; Chordata; Mammalia; Rodentia; Muridae. The record is from RNAcentral.
UUCUCAUUCUCUUUUUUGGUCCC